AAUAUGUUGCCAGCAUUUUAUCAAAGUUGUUGUGACAUGUUAAGCAAAUGGGAGAAGAUGGUGUGUACAGAAGGAUACAGUGAGUUAGAUGUGUGGCCUUAUCUUGUAGAUUUGACAAGAGAUGUGAUUUCCCGAUCUGCUUUUGGAAGCAGCUUCGAAGAAGGCAGACGAAUUUUCCAAUUACUAGAGGACCAACUCGUUCUCACAAUCAAAUUAAUACAAACUGUUUACAUUCCAGGAUGGAGGUAACCCUCAACUUAAUUUACUUGAAAAAGGUUGCAAAUGUUGGAAUUCGCUAAAUUCGUGUUUGUUUUCUUGAAGGUUUUUGCCAACAAAGACAAACAGGGAGAUGAAGAUGAAACACAGACAUAAAAGAGUCGCUUAGGGAAAUGAUAAAGAGAAGGGAGAAGGCAAUUAAAGCAGGGGAAGAGAGCAAUGAGGACUUGUUGGACAUACUUGUGGAAUCCAAUAUCAGAGAAAUGGAAGCAAAGAAUAUGGGGAUGAGCAUUGAGGAUGUGAUUGAGGAAUGCAAGCUGUUUUACUUUGCUGACCAAAAGACCACUUCGGUCUUGCUGGUGUGGACUAUGGUUUUAUUAGCAAGGUAUCCCGAUUGGCAAAGUAAAGCAAGAGAGGAGGUUUUGCAUGUUUUGGGUGACAGUAAACCUGAUGCUGAUGGCCUUAAUCGUCUCAAAGUUGUAAGUCCCUAGCAUGUCUCUUGAAGGCCCGAUCUCUGAGGUCGACAACUCAAAAACUUGGUUUCUUUGUUUCGCUAAUUCUACAGUUAACAAUGAUAUUGUACGAGGUUCUAAGGCUGUACCCACCAGUGAUUGAGCUAGGACGUUCCGUUCCAAAAGAAAUAAAACUGGGAAAUUUGUUGUUACCAGCAGGAACAGACGUUUCGGUUCCAAUCCUGCAGAUCCACCAUGACAAAGAUCUUUGAGGCGACGACGCACGGGAAUUUAAGCCACAGCGGUUCACGGAAGGGGUUUCCUAAGCAACAAAGAGUCAAGUCACGUUUCUGCCAUUCGGAUGGGGUCCUAGGAUCUGCAUUGGCCAAAACUUUGCCAUGAUGGGAACCAAAAUGACGAUGGCUAUGAUUCUCCAACGCUUCUGGUUCGAGCUUUCCUCUUCCUAUGCUUACUCUCCUUACAACAUGGCAACUCUUCGUCCACAGCAUGGUGCACAGAUAAUUUUACAAAAACUUGGCUGUAAUUGAAUUGUUAUGUAAACAAAUCUUUGUGAAAAUAUAGUGUUUUAGUGUAUCGUCAAAGUCUGCCUGUAAUGGUACAAUUCCGAUGCAUGAAUAGUAAAUCUUGAGAUGUUUGGUGAAGUCCGAAAUAAUAUGCAGAAAUUGAGUGUCUUGAAUGGAUGUAGUAUUUAAUGGUGGACAUAGUUGAGGGACUAAUGUGGUAAUUAUCAAACAAAUAAUUGCAUAUGGUACAAAGACUUGUAUGGAAAUUAGAGCAGGGCGAGUUGAAAAUUACUACUUUGCUUCGGGCAUCAAUUUAGAAAGAUUUAAAGUACAAAUGUAUUAUUAGUUUAAGGGAUUUGUUUUAAAGAAGGAAUGACAAUUAAACCUCAUGGUUGAUGUGUGGAAGGGAACCAAUGAUGGGAUGAUUACUCCUAGUGGUAAAAAAAAAAACUAUUAAGGUGGUUAUUAUAGUUGUUAUCACCGGCCCAAAAUUAGAAUAGGUUCAGGUCGGAUUAUAUUGAGCUUGUAGAUGAGUUUGCAUGAUAAUAGGUGUUCACAGAAAGAUAUCUAUAGUUUCCUACAAAGUCACAUGUGAGAUCGUGCAUUGGGACCGCAUAAAAAUGUUUUAUGUUUAGAAUAUGAUACGUGUCUAUGUGUAUGGAAUCUACCUAAUAUAUCAUAUUAAUUAAUAGUAUCAAUUGCGGAGCCAAAAAAUUAUUUCUGAGGGGUCAGAAUUAAAUUGUAUAUUUUUACAAAAAUAAAAAUUAAAUUUCACUAUUUUAAUAGUUUAUUUCUUUUUAAUUUUUAAAUGAUUAAAUUAAAUUUUUAUAAAUUUUUGGGAUCAAAGUACAAUUUUAUCAUUUCUAAUUUAAAAUUUUAUAAAAUAUAAAAAGUUUAUAUGAAAAGUUUUCUAUUUUAGAGUGGCCAAAGCCCCUGCCAACUUCCGACUCGAUCACUAAACAAUAUAAAUAAAUAAAUACCACCAUCUAAAAGACUCAAGAAAAACACUCAACGAUAAAUAGAUAGAUGUUGGGUAAAGAUACGUUUGGAUGGGCGGUGCGUUUACUUGCGGUUAGUAUAAAAAUAGCGGUGGCGGUUAGAUUAGAUACUAUAGCAACACUGUAGCGUAAGACAAAAAAUAAGCUAAACGCACUGCACUGCACUUAAUCGCCCAUCCAAACUCACCCUAAGUGUCCAAAAUAUGAUUUAAGUGAAGAUACGUAGGGUAGGUGUCAUGGAAAUGUAAAAGACAAGAAUCCCACUAAUGUAUGGGAUGUGUACAGCUGAAUGUAGGGAGCAAAGAGGAGUGAAUCAUUUUGGUAACAUUUGGACAAGAAACAUAAUGAACAAAAUGAAAGGAGAGGAAGCUAGUAAAAGAUUUUUUUGGGUUAUAUAAUUUGUUUGGCAUAUAUUUUUAUAAUUUUUAAAUAUCAUUUUGGAGUUGAAUUAUAAUUUCUUUUUAUGUUUUAAAACAUAAUUAUUCUAUCUUCAAAGGGUUAGAGUAGAGGUGAGCAUGGGUCGGGCUACUCGGCCCGAAAUGUGAGAGAUUUGGGCAAAAAUAUAGGCUCAAAAAAUGGACUUGGACAAAAAAAUAUAAGGCCCGUUGAAAAAUGGGCCGGGCAUUGGGUAAGGCAUUUUUGGCCCCGGGCCCGGCCCAAUCCUAAUUCACUAAAGGACAAAAAAAAUCUGAUUUUUAAAUAUUAUUUUCUCCCUAUUUUGCUACCAUUUUACUAUUAUGUUGCUACUAUUUUGUUGUUAUUUUUUGGAUAUUGUAUAAAACUUAUUUUAUUGUUAAUUUUGUUAUUAUUUUAAAGACAUUUGUUAAUUUUGUUAUUAUUUUAGAGACAUUUGCUUGUUAAGUUGCAUCUAUCUUAGUGUUAUUUAAGUAUACAUAUUUUUUAAAAUUUAUUUUCAAUUUAUUGGGAAAUAUUUAUUUUGAUGUUUUUAGUAUUUUGGAUGUAUUAUAUAUAUUAAAAUUAUAUAAAAAUUAAUAUGGCCGAGCCGAGUCAGGCCCAGAUUUUAGCAUUUUUAUUCAAGUCGGGCUUGAGCAAAAUUUUAAGCCCAUUUUUUGGGCCAAACCAGGCCUGGGCUUAGCAAAUGGGCCUAAAUUUUUAGUCAAGCCCGACCUAAACCCGAUCCGGCCCAUACUCACCUCUAGAUCAGAGCUGCCCUCGCUUUUCAUUUCUUUGAGAUUCAGUCUUAUCUACUGUUGAUUGCCCACUCAAUUGAGGGUUGAGUAGAAAGAUUUGGUGAAGCAAGCUAAGCUAUCAAUCAAGGUUGGAGAAAGCUUAGGAGGUCACAAUGCAUAAUUAUUUAAAUGUAAUUCUAAUAUUUAAAUAAAAUUUAUUAAUAUAGUAUUAACAAGCCCUAAAUGUAAUGAUUAUAUACUAUUACAUUUUUAAGAAGAGAAAACAUGUUUGAACCUUAAAAACAUCAUUAUUAAAAAUGAUAAUUAAAAAUUUUAAAAUAUAAAAAAUAUAAUUAAAAAUUAAUUUUAAACCCGAGCUGGAUAAAAUUCUAAUUUUAGAUAACGAUACUAAUAAGAAAUCAAUAUUAAAAUGAAAAUGAAAAGUAAUUUAAUAUAAUUUUUGAGUCUUGGGCAAAGGCACUCAAUGAAUGCUUGGAAAGAAAUAAUGCAACUUGGUGAUAGCUUUUGUUGGAGUAAUAUGCUCUUAUUAUAGUUUUAUGUUUUUAUCUUGCAAAAACAACAUAUUGGAGUUUUCGGCAUGAUUUUUUCUUAAUACUUUACAUGAAAAAUAAUAAUGGGACUUAAAAAUCUAUCAAAAGCUUCACCAUAAUAAUAAUAAUAAUAAUAAUAAUAAUAAUAAUAAUAAUAAUAAUAAUAAAUUGCUACAAUAUUACAACACGUUACAAUAAGAGCUUAUAACUCAACAAAGGCUAUCAAUAAAUAAUCUCAGGCAAGCUAAAGAGAAAUGUUGAGAAUACCACCCGAAUAGUGACUGACUUUAAAAGUUGAAAACCCGAAGCUAUAGUAUCUCAAACGAAAUCAAACCAUAAACAUUAAAAUUUUCAAGUCUACUAGCUACUGUAAAAAAUGCAGCUCCAACAGACACCAAAUGAGUCUUUGAUCGAAGAAAGUACAAAAACUAGUCUGGGUAAACCAAGCUGCCAAACUUACUUAUCUUAUCUUUAAUUUUGCAGUGAAAUUAAAAACUAAGUUUUUGUUUAUUUCACUUGGAACAACUUUCAAAAAAUUAUUUUUGAAAAAUGGAUUGGUUUUUCGAAAUAGAUGAUAUUUUAUUGUGUUAAAAUUUUAUUCGUUGUUGGAAAACUUUUUUUAAAUCAUUUUCUUAAAGUUAUUUUUAGUGAAACAAACAUAACAUAAAUAUAUUUGUUACAAAAAAAUUAUAUUAGUAUUUUCUUUUGACAAUUAAAAUUUAUUUUAUGAUAAGACAAUAUUUUGUAAUAAUUAAUAUCAUAUAUAUACUUAUUAAAAAAAUCUUGUUUAAUUAAAAUUUAAUUAAAAUUAAAUAUAUUAAUAAAGCUACAUAUAAUCAUAUUUUUUAUAAUUAAAAUAUUAAUAUAAAUAUUUUUCAAUAAUAUAUUAAAAUAUUAAAAUUUAAAUUAUUAUUACUUAAAUUAAUUAUUAAAAUAAAAAUUUAAGAUUAAAUAAUUUAUUCAAUGAUAAGUUUUAUUAAUAAUUUAUUGUAUUAUUAAAUAUAAUUAAUUAAAUAUGCAUAUUUAAUAAUAUUACGUUAUAAUAUUUUAAUAUUCUUAAACAGCCAUGUUUUUAAGAUGCUGGUGAUGGUGAUGGUGCGGGCCUCUCUUGUUACAAUUACUAUAAUUUUUUGUGCAAUAAUUGAAGUUGUUGGGUGGUCAAGCAAACCUCUUUUGACUGAGAUGCAUAUAAUAUACCCGCAUGUCCCCGCCUCCUAAAAUUUAAAUUUGCUAUUUGAAUCUUUAAAAUUUUUAAAAAUUUUAAAUUCAUAAAAGUAAAAUUAUACUUUGACCCUCUAAAAUUAUAAAAAUUUAAUUUAAUCUUUUAAAAAUUAUAAAUAUAUAGACUAUAAAAAAUUAAAAUUUCAUUGGGCCCCUAAUAUAUUGUUCAGGCUUCACCCUUGAUACUGAUGUUGACUAUUUUAGAGUAUGUGUCUUCUUUAAUAGGGUUAAAUUAUAUAUUUAUAUAAUAUAGUUAUUGUUUAUGGACGUGACAUCGUAACUAGGUUCUUAUGCAUGUCAACAUAUAUCCUAUUUUAAGGUUAACACGUAUUUUUAAAUAUGAAUUCACCUAUAUAAUGGUAUGAACCAUCAUGCAGUCUCAUAAAAUAUGCGAAUAUAUGUCGUGCGAACACAAAGUACAAACCACACAGAAUACGAAUUAAGACCCAAUUGAAUAAUCGGAUACGAAUCAGUAAUAAUGAAUUUCAUAACAGCCACCAACCCCUCUUUUGUUUUAAUUUAUUUUAUUUCCAGUAAGUUAUUGUUUGUGAUAAUUCACAACAAAUGCUUUUGUCAUUAUUUUGUUGGUAAAUAAUAAUAAGAUUAAACUUUACUUUCUUAAGCUCCUUCAAUUCUUUGGAAGUUGGUGGUUUUUUAUUCUAAUCUUAUUUUUUUUAUUAAUUUCUUUUUUUAUAAUAAAUGUGUUUAUAGAUCAGGUUGGAUUAUAAUUGAAUCAUUGUCUGGUAUUAACAUAAUUUAUAUCGAUUAAAAUUUAUUCGACUGGAAAUAUAAAUUUAAAAUUUUACUUCAAUUUAUCUUAAUUUAUAAAUUGUGAAUUUAAAUUUAUUUAUUUUCUCUCAUUAUAUUCAGUUUUUCGGAUCAUAUUUGGCCCAGAACAAAAACUAGAACAAAAAAACAAAUAUAUAUGUUUUCCAAAAAUUAAAUUGUUAACUUCAAAAAAAUAUAUUUUUAGCUAUUUAUCAUCAUAGAGAAAAACAAAUAAGGUCACCUCGCCUUAUGCUUCAACACCUCAACCUAGAUUCUCAUCACCUGUAUUUAUCAUCGAUUCAGAUUUUUAUUUUUACUAUAUUCUAGAUCUACCUAUAAAUAUAUCUUCAAACUUCCUCUGGUUAAGUUCAUUCAUAGAUAGGUGAGUAAACUUGAGCUUCAGCUUCAACAAACACCUUAGUUUGAAGACACAAUUCUCUCAUACUAAAAAUAUGGAAGUUUACCAUGUAAUUAGAGAUUUGGUCUCAUUGCUUGUUGUUGGUUUAUUAAUGAUAUGGGGAUGGAGAGCUUUAAACUGGGUAUGGUUGGCCCCAAAGAGGCUCGAAAGGUGCUUGAGACAACAGGGUUUUGCAGGGAAUCCUUACAGGUUCCUUUCUGGUGACAUAAAAGAGCUCUCAACUAUGAGCAGACAAACAAGAGCCAAACCUAUGCCUCUUAGUGAUGAUAUUGGGCCUUAUGUUGCUCCUUUUCUUCAUCAAACUGUCAACCAGUAUGGUAUGUUUAAUUAUUAUUUAAUCUUCAAUUUAUGAUAAUUCUUUGUUAUUUAUGAAUGGAAUUUAUUGGGAGGAAAUGCAGGAAAGAAUUCAUUUACGUGGAUUGGUCCAAGACAAAGGGUGAACAUUAUGGACCCUGAAAAAAUAAGAGAAAUAUUUACCAAAUUUAAUGACUUCCAGAAGGUGCGUACCAAUCCACUGCUUACUUUGCUUGUAAGCGGCCUUGUUAACCUCGAAGGAGACCGAUGGAGCAAACAUAGAAAAAUCAUAAACCCUUCAUUUCAUCAAGAUAAGUUGAAGGUAUAGAAUAGUGAUGGGUACUUAAGACUUAAUUUACAGAAAACAUGAUACUUAAAUCUAUGCUUUUCUGAUUUAGAAAUGAUUGGAUGCAGAAUAUGUUGCCAGCAUUUUAUCAAAGUUGUUGUGACAUGUUAAGCAAAUGGGAGAAGAUGGUGUGUACAGAAGGAUACAGUGAGUUAGAUGUGUGGCCUUAUCUUGUAGAUUUGACAAGAGAUGUGAUUUCCCGAUCUGCUUUUGGAAGCAGCUUCGAAGAAGGCAGACGAAUUUUCCAAUUACUAGAUGACCAACUCGUUCUCAGAAUCAAAUUACUACAAACUGUUUACAUUCCAGGAUGGAGGUAACCCUCAAUUUACUUGAAAAAGGUUGCAAAUGUUGGAAUUGGCUAAAUUCGUGUUUGUUUCCUUAAAGGUUUUUGCCCACAAAGACAAACAGGGAGGUGAAGAUGAAACACAAAGACAUAAAAGAGUCGCUCAGGGAAAUGAUAAAAAGAAGAGAGCAGGCAAUUAAAGCAGGGGAAGAGAGCAAUGAGGACUUGUUGGACAUACUUGUGGAAUCCAAUAUCAGAGAAAUGGAAGCAAAGAAAAAGGGGAUGAGCAUUGAGGAUGUGAUUGAGGAAUGCAAGCUGUUUUACUUUGCUGGCCAGGAGACCACUUCGGUCUUGCUGGUGUGGACUAUGGUUUUAUUAGCAAGGUAUCCCGAUUGGCAAAGUAAAGCAAGAGAGGAGGUUUUGCAUGUUUUGGGUGACAGUAAACCUGAUGCUGAUGGCCUUAAUCGCCUCAAAGUUGUAAGUCCCUAGCAUGUCUUUUGAAGGUCCGAUCAAUAAGGUCGACAACUCAAAAAUUUGGUUUCUUUUUUCGCUAAUUCUACAGUUAACAAUGAUAUUGUACGAGGUUCUAAGGCUGUACCCAUCAGCGACUGAGCUAGGACGUUCCGUUCCAAAAGAAAUAAAACUGGGAAAUUUGUUGUUACCAGCAGGAACAGAAAUUUCGGUUCCGAUCCUGCUGAUCCACCAUGACAAAGAUCUUUGGGGCGAUGACGCACGGGAAUUUAAGCCAGAGCGGUUCGCGGAAGGGGUUUCCAAAGCAACAAAGAGUCAAGUCACGUUUCUGCCAUUCGGAUGGGGUCCUAGGAUCUGCAUUGCCCAGAAUUUUGCUAUGAUGGAAGCCAAAAUGGCGGUGGCCAUGAUUCUCCAACGCUUCUGGUUCGAGCUUUCCCCUUCCUAUGCUCACUCUCCUUGCAGCAUGGUAACGCUUCGUCCACAGCAUGGUGCACAGAUUAUUUUACAUAAACUUGGCUCUAAUUGAGUAGUUAUGUAAACAAAUCAUUGUGAAAAUAGUGUUUUAACGUAUCGUAAAAACUCCGGUGUCUGUAAUGGAACAUUUCCGAUGCAUGGAUAGUAAAUUUUGUGAUGUUUGGUGAAGUCCGAAAUAAUAUGCAGAACUUGAGUGUCCUGAAUGGAUGUAGUAUUUAAUGGUGGACAUAGUUGAGGGACUAAUGUGGGAAUUAUCAAACAAAGAAUUGCAUAUGGUACAAAGACUUGUAUGGAAAUUAGAGCAGGGGGAGUAGAAAAUGACUACUUCUACGGGCAUCAAUUGAGAAAGAUUUCCGGUGCAAAUGUUAGCAAAUUUUUGAGCUUCAGCCUUAAACAUUAGCAAGAUUGCAAUACCGGGAUUAUCUAGUGUUGGUUGCCCACUCAAUUGAGGGUUAAGUUGAAGGAUUUGUUGAAGCAAGCUAAGCUAUCAAUCAAGGUUGGAGAAAGCUUAGGAGGUCACAAUACAUCAUUAUUGCAUAAUUAUUUAAAUGAAAUUUAAUAUUUAAAUAAAAAAUAUUAAUAUAGUACCAACAAUAUUCCAUUUCUUUUAACCAAGUGUUUCUAGAUUAUGAAAUUCAUUAAUGAUUUGUAAAAUAUAUUGAUGCGAUCCCGGCCGCAUCAUGUUUCGAUACAACUCGACGACCUCAGAAUUGACCUAAACUCUAGGGGCCCAAGUGCAAAAUGAAGCUUAAUUUCAGCUCAAUGAGCUCAAUUCUAGCUUCUUCAAGCUCGUCUAGUUCAACCCAAGCUCAUUUAGCUUAACUUCAACCCAUUUUUAAUUUGUUGGAAUAAGUAUUUAGUUGCUGGAAUAAAUUACUCAUCUUAGUUAAUUGAGUUCAUCUUAGUUAAUUAAGUUGUUGGAAUAUGUUACUCAUCUUAGUUAAUUUAGUUGCUAGAAUAAUUUAUUGUUGCAUGUGUUUUUAAGUUUAUUAAAUUCAGUUAAGUGUUAAAUGUGUUUAUUUACAGUUUAUUAACUAAGCUUGUUAAGUCUAAUAUGUGUUAAAAUGUGUUUAAUGUGUUUGUUUGUAGGUGACUAAUCAGUUGGAAACAGUUAUGUACAAGGGCUGUUACAAAGUGUUAAAUGCGACUAUUCAUUUGGAAUCGGUUACAUACAAGGGGCUAUUACAUUAUUUAAAGGAGAGCAUUAUACAUCAUUUAAAGGAGAAUUUAAAGCUUUUCCUAAACUUUUUGGCUGCUCAAGAAUGAAAUCUAAGCAUUCAAGCUUAUUAAAUCAACUGAAUUAGAACAUUAAAUGAUCUUAUUGAUAGUUGCUGUUAUUUAGGCCUAGAAUUUCAAGAGUUUGUGCUUAGUGACUAAGUUAAUUUCAGCUCAUUAUUAGCUCAUUAAGCUGAACAAAAGUGACUAUUCGGCUAGGCCUCAUUUAGCACUAUAAAUACUUGUAAUCAGCUCAUUGUAAAAAAAACUUUUUGCUGAAUUUAUGCUAAAUUUGAAACUUGUGAGAUUUCCAAUUCUCGUUGUUCUUUCGAGAUUGAAUUGACUUAUCAAGUUUUCUUGUGGCAUCAUUCUUUCUUUUGUUUAAACCGAACUUAUCACCUUUUGGUGUGGCGUUCAUAUACAUUUGGUUCCUAUCACUUUUGAUAGUGGGUAAAGGUCCUUGCUGUUUUCUUUAAACCGUAAAUCACCUAAGAGCUAUUUUGAGACUCGGGUCAACAAUCUAAUAUUGUUGGUUCAUUCUCGGUCUUAGCCAAAUUAUCCAUUAUUUACUUAACCAUUUUACCUACUACCAUUGUUUGAAGCCAUUUAUCCUAUUUUGUUUCAUUUAACUGAAACGAACUUAUCCUUACUCAAUUCACGAUCGGGUAAUCUAAACGACUCGAAUCAUUCCGAAACGAGUUCGUAUCAUAUAUCCUCCAUUCUUAUUGAGUGGGUGUAAUGAAAAUUCUCCUAUUUCUAAUUGUGAUAAAGUAGAGACUCUCUUUAGAAAAAAGGCAGCAACAUUUUUCAAUUAUUAAUUGAACACCUUGGUGAAUUUUCGUUUUUUUUCUUUUUUUCUUUUUACGGUUCAAUUUUCGUUUGGGUAUUGUAAUUUCAGGUUAAUCAUUGUUUGGUUGAUAUUCUCAACUUCAAUCUUUAAUUUACUUGAGAUUAUUAGUUGAUUGUUUUUGUUGGAAUCAUAUGAUUUUAUUGUGUAUUUAUGUUUUAAUCUUUUAGAAAGAAGUUUUUAUGUGGACUUUCAAGCUUCGUAAUUUUUAUUAUUUGCUUUACGUAAAAAAAACUCGUGGGAUACAAAAAUUCACAAAAAAACUUGCUAUAAGAUUACAACACAAAACCAUAAGCUUAUAACUCAACAAAAGCUAUCAAUAAAUAAUCUCAAGCUAGCUAAAGAGAAAUGUAGAGAAUAUCACCCAAACAGUAACUUGCUUUAAAAGUUAAAAAUCCAAAGUUAUAGUACCCCAAACGAAAAUCGAAUAUUAAACAUUAAAGAUCUUCGAUUCUACUAGCUAUUGUAAAAAAAAAAAUUCCAACGGACACCAAAUAGACCUUUGAUCGAAGAAAAUACGAAAACUAGUCUGGUUAAAACUACAUGCCAAACUCACUUUUUCUCAUUUCUUUAACUUGCGGUGAAAUUCAAAACUAAUGUUAUAUUUUUUCACUGAAAUUAACUUUAAAAAAAUUAUCUGAAAAAAAUGAUUGAUUUUUCAAAAAAGAUUGAUAUUUUUUUAUGUUUGGAUGAUUUUUUGUAAAAUAUAUUUCGUUGUUUGACAAAUUUUUUUGAAAUAAUUUUCUUAGAGUUGUUUUUAGUAAAACAAACAUAAGAUAGAUAUAUUUGUUACAAAAGAUUAUAGUAACAUUUUCUUUUGACAAUUUAAAUUUAUUUUAUAACAAGAUGAUAUUUUAUAAUAAUUAAUAUUAUAUAUAAACUUAAUAAUAAACAAUAUCUAAUUAAAACUUAAUUUAUAUUAAAUAUAUUAAUAAAGCUAAGUAUAAUUUAAACAAAUACUCAUGUUUUAUAUCAUUAAAAUAUUAAUAUAAAUAUUUUUCAAUAAUAUAUUAAGAAUAUUAUUUAAAAUUUAAAAUUAUUAUUUUUAAAAUUAAUUAUUAAAAUAAAAAUGUAAUAUUAAAUAAUUUAUCAAAAUGAUAAGUCAUAUUAAUAAUUUAUUAGAUUAUUAAAUAUAAAUAAUUAAAUAUGUAUAUUUAAUAAUAUUGAACAUUAUAAUAUUUUUUAUUAAUAUUUUAAUAUUAUUAAUAUAAUAAUAUUGGACUUGAUUCAAGUUAAUUUUUAUAUAAAAAAAAUAAAAUUACAUGUAAAUGAACUCAUUUUCAAAAAAAUAACUUGUACUUUUAAAAAAGGUAAACUAAUUUACAGAAAAACAAACUUAUUUUCUGUUAAUCUAUAAUUUUUUUUGUUAAUCAAAUUAUUUUCAUGAAAUAAAUAUAAAAAAAUACAAAAAAAAAACAGUUUCCAUAUUAACACUCAAUACUAAACUGUCAUUUUCCUCCGCUUCCCUAAUUUGUAUGUAGCAGUGAACGUUUGAUCGAAUCGAGUAAAAAAAAUUGAGUUGACGAGUCAUAUUUUAUCAUCUUAACUUGAUUUGAAAUUUUUUUAAAUCAAGUCAAAGACUAAGAGCACAUAAAUUUGAAACCUUAUCUAUUUGAAUUUGUUUUAAAAAAAAAAAGAAAAAAAAUACUUUAGCAUGAUAAACUUGAAUUGUGAAUUAACUUAUUUAGGUCCCAAAAUUAUUAUUUUAUAAUUUUUUUAAAAAAUAUAAAUUUUAAAAUUUUUAUAAAUAUUUUGAAUUGAAUUUUUGUUGAAAGAGAGACCGAUCUAUCAUUUUCAAAAUUAAAAAAAAGACCAAACUAUAUUUACAGUAAUUUAUUAUUCGAAUUAUUUAAAUUAUAUAAUUUAACUCAAUUUAAAAUCGAAACUCGAAUAACUCAAUUUUUAACCCGAAAUUUAUUUUUUAAAUUUUUUAAAUCAAAUCGAAUUUUGUUCGCCCUACAUCAAUAACUUUGUAUCCAUAUCAAGCUUUUUUUUAAGCUAUAUAUAUUAUUUUAGAGAAUACAUGGUCACCACGGUUCAAUGAUUGAACACCACUCCACUCUCCACUUUUUUUAGAUAAGUCUUUGGCCUGUGUGGUUUAUCCUCUUAAUUUUUUGAGGAUAUCAUUUACUAAAUAAUUUAUUUUUUACAUAAAUUUUAAUAUAUAUUAAUAAUAAAUUAAUUCAAUUGGUAAUAUUUAACUAUUCUCAUAACUCAUUUUUAAUAAAGAAAAUAAUAAAAUUCGAUUAUGAUAAGGAGGUUUUAUUUUUAACAAAAAUUAUUUUUUAUAUUUCUAAGUUUAAAUCUAAAUUUAUACAAGUUAUUCUUUAUUUUAUAUCUAAUUAUUGUAAAACAUAAAUAAUAUUUUUUUUUCCUUUUCAUGCUACCAAACAAUCCAUUAAUCAUUAAUUAUAUUAAAAUCUUUGACUUAUUAAUAUUUAUGGAAAGUAAAUCGGAUGCUAAAGAAAUCUUAGUCAAACCAAAAAGAAAGAAGAGAUAGAGGUGGGCAAAGCUGAGGUUCAGCUUUCAUAAACACCUUCAUUUGAAGACACAGUUCUCAUACUCAAACCAAAAGACAUGGAAGUUUUCCUUGUAAUUAGAGAUCUGGUUUCACUGCUUGUUGUUGGGUUAUUAAUGAUAUGGGGAUGGAGGGCUUUAAACUGGGUAUGGUUGACCCCAAAGAGACUCGAAAGGUGCUUGAAACAACAGGGUUUUGCAGGAAAUCCUUAUAGGUUCCUUUCUGGAGACAUCAAAGAGAGCUUCACUAUGAGCAGACAAACAAGAGCCAAACCUAUGCCUGUUAGUGAUGAUAUUGAGGCUUAUGUUGUUCCUUUUCUUCAUCGAACUAUCAACAAUCAUGGUAUGUUCUACAUUAAUCUGCAAUUUCAUCGUGAUAUUCAGAUUUCUUUUUUUAUGUCUGAAGUUUAUUAGGGGAUAUGCAGGAAAUAAUUCAUUUAUGUGGUUUGGUCCAAGACCAAGGGUGACAAUUAUGGACCCUGAAAAAAUAAGAGAAAUAUUUACCAAAUUCAAUGACUUCCAGAAGCCUCAUUCCAAUCCACUGGUUAGAUUCCUUGUAGGUGGCCUUUCCAACCUCGAGGGAGACCAAUGGAGUAAGCAUAGAAAAAUUUUAAACCCUGCAUUUCAUCAAGAUAAGUUGAAGGUAUGUUGUAUUUGCACUUUUUUUCCUCUUUCAAUUCAAUCAUUUUGACUUACCUUAAUCAAUACCUUUAGGAGACUAAUUUUCAUUUCUAAUAUAUUUAUGUACUUCUGGUAUGGAAAUAAUUGCAGAACAUGUUGCCAGCAUUUUAUCAAAGUUGUAAUGAGAUGAUAAGCAAAUGGGAGGAGAUGGUGUCUAAAGAAGGGUACAGUGAGUUAGAUGUGUGGCCUUAUAUCGUAAAUAUGACAAGAGAUGUGAUUUCCCGAGCUGCGUUUGGGAGCAGCUACGAAGAAGGAAGAGGAAUUUUCCAACUAUUAGAGGACCUAACCUCUCUCACAAUCAAAGUUUUUCAAUCUGUUUACAUUCCAGGAUGGAGGUAAACCUGAACUUUAUCUUCGAGUUUUAAGGAAAAUGUUACAGAUGUUGAAAUUCGAAUCUCGGGUGUUUGUUUUCUUGAAGGUUUUUACCCACAAAGACUAACAGGGAGUUGAAGAUGAAACACAAAGACAUAAAAGAAUCGCUUAGGGAAAUGAUAAAGAGAAGAGAGAAGGCAAUUAAAGCAGGGGAAGAGAGCAAUGAGGACUUGUUGGACAUACUUGUGGAAUCCAAUAUCAGAGAAAUGGAAGCAAAGCAUAAGGGGAUGAGCAUUGAGGAUGUGAUUGAGGAAUGCAAGCUGUUUUACUUUGCUGGCCAAGAGACCACUUCGGUCUUACUGGUGUGGACUAUGGUUUUACUAGCAAGAUAUCCUGAUUGGCAGACUAAAGCAAGGGACGAGGUCUUGCAUGUUCUUGGUGACCGUAAAC
RNAcentral lists this long non-coding RNA (14168 nucleotides) under Gossypium raimondii (Peruvian cotton). RNAcentral describes it as "long non-coding RNA (GRAI_LNC000894)". Lineage: Eukaryota; Viridiplantae; Streptophyta; Magnoliopsida; Malvales; Malvaceae. The record is from RNAcentral.